Herpailurus yagouaroundi (jaguarundi) is the source of this 348-nucleotide long non-coding RNA. RefSeq lists it as uncharacterized. The record is from RefSeq and is a predicted model, not a curated record. The transcript is spliced from 2 exons. NCBI's taxonomy places the organism in Eukaryota, Metazoa, Chordata, Mammalia, Carnivora, Felidae.
GUUCAAGGCCAUUCUUUGGGGCUAUACGUGAGGUCUCUGGAACCAAAGGGAGCAUGCAACUCUUCUUAAAAUUGAAGGUGUUUAUGCUCAAGAUUAAACUGAAUUCUAUUUAGGCAAGGUAUGUGCUUGUGUGUACAAAGCAAAGACCAACACUUCUGGUGGCAAACCGAACAAAACUAGAGUAAUCUGGGGAAAAGUAACUUGUGCUCAUGGAAACGGUGGCAUGGUUUCUACCAAAUUCCAAAGCAACCUUUCCACUAAAGCCAUUGACCACAGAAUCUGUGUGAUACUGUACACCUCAGGAUUUGAAAUUACUGAAAAGUAAAUAAGUAAAGGUAUAGAUUUGUU